Molecule: transfer RNA, 73 nt
Organism: Drechmeria coniospora
Lineage: Eukaryota; Fungi; Ascomycota; Sordariomycetes; Hypocreales; Ophiocordycipitaceae
Rfam family: tRNA
About the family: Transfer RNA (tRNA) molecules are approximately 80 nucleotides in length. Their secondary structure includes four short double-helical elements and three loops (D, anti-codon, and T loops).
Source: Rfam
UCCCCUGUAGCUCAACUGGCAGAGCGUCAGACUGUUAAUCUGGAGGUCGGAAGUUCGAUCCUUCCCGGGGGAG